RNAcentral lists this ribosomal RNA (503 nucleotides) under uncultured bacterium. RNAcentral's name for it is "bacterial SSU rRNA". It matches the Rfam family "Bacterial small subunit ribosomal RNA", at positions 28 to 523 of the family's 1533-position model. The record is from RNAcentral.
GACGAACGCUGGCGGCGUGGAUUAGGCAUGCAAGUCGAACGGUAUCAUCCUUUCGGGGGUGAGAGAGUGGCGAACUGGUGAGUAACACGUAGGUUAUCUACCCUCAAGACGGGGACAACCCAGGGAAACUUGGGCUAAUACCGGAUGUGAGCAACUUUUAGUUGUUUGAAAGGUGGCGUAAGCUGUCGCUUGGGGAUGAGCCUGCGUCCUAUUAGUUAGUUGGUGAGGUAACGGCUCACCUAGGCAAUGAUAGGUAGGCGGCCUUAACGGGUGGUCGCCCACACUGGGAUUGAGAUACGGCCCAGACUCCUACGGGAGGCAGCAGUCGAGAAUAGUCUACAAUGGUCGGAAGACUGAUAGUGCGACGCUGCGUGAACGAUGAAUCCCUUCGGGGUGUAAAGUUCUUUUAUAUGUGAGCAGUGCUUCUUAUAUUAACAGUAUGGGGAGAGAGAUAUUAGCAUAUGAAUAAGCAACGGCUAACUCCGUGCCAGCAGCCGCGGUAA